This 253-nucleotide ribosomal RNA is filed under the name uncultured bacterium. Its description in RNAcentral is "partial 16S ribosomal RNA". It matches the Rfam family "Bacterial small subunit ribosomal RNA", at positions 524 to 776 of the family's 1533-position model. The record is from RNAcentral.
UACGAAGGGGGCUAGCGUUGCUCGGAAUGACUGGGCGUAAAGCGUGCGCAGGCGGCGCGUUAAGACAGGUGUGAAAGCCCCGAGCUUAACUUGGGAAUUGCGCUUGUGACUGGCGAGCUGGAGUGUGGCAGAGGGAGGUGGAAUUCCACGUGUAGCAGUGAAAUGCGUAGAGAUGUGGAGGAACACCGAUGGCGAAGGCAGCCUCCUGGGCCAGCACUGACGCUCAUGCACGAAAGCGUGGGGAGCAAACAGG